AAGGUCGGCGUUGCCAAAUCGGAAGUGCCUCUGUUAUCUUCCCUUCCAUUUCUGCAAAUAGUUCCGUGAACCAGAACGUUCCAAGUGAAAGAUGGCCGGGAAUUCGAUCUUGCUGGCUGCUCUCUCUGUCCUCUCUGCCUGUCAGCAAAGUUAUUUUGCUUUGCAGGUAGGAAAGGCGAGAUCAAAAUACAAAGUUACACCCCCAGCGGUCUCUGGAUCACCAGAGUUUGAGAGAAUGUUUCGUGCACAACAAAACUGUGUGGAGUUUUACCCAAUAUUUAUGAUUACAUUGUGGAUGGCUGGAUGGUAUUUCAACCAAGUUUUUGCUACUUGUCUGGGUCUGGUGUACAUAUAUGCCCGUCACCAAUAUUUCUGGGGAUACUCAGAAGCUGCUAAAAAAAGGAUCACUGGCUUCCGGUUGAGUCUUGGGGUUUUGGCCCUGUUGACCAUCCUAGGCGCUGUGGGAAUUGCAAAUAGCUUUCUAGAUGAAUACCUGGACAUCAAUGUGGCCAAGAAACUGAGGCACUUCUAACAUUCUCCCCUCCCUUUGCGCAAAUGCUUGCAGAAGAUGUUUCCACUCUAAAGGAUUGGAAGUAGAUGAGGUGUGGCCAAAAAUGUCAUUAAUAAGGAAAAAAUCAAGUCAUUUGCUUUUUUUUUAUCCUUUUUCUCUAGAUACAAUCUUUCUUGAAAAGAAUGGUUAAAGGCAGAAAGAGCUCCUUUAAUGCUUUUGAAUGUUCCUUAACUUUCCACAAUAAAAUACCUGCUUCUCACAUGGCAGAUGCCUCGUGACUUCUUGGAAAGAUGUUUAUUCUCUCCCUCCUUCUUCCCCCAGUAUACAGUUGCAGCACUGGGAUUUUAUAAAGGUCAACACGAUUAUAAAUAAGAAAUCACUUUAAAGGAGAAAGGUAUUCCAUCCAUCCAGUUCAGUAAAUAAAAAGAUGUGGUUUUGACUAAUCAGGACAAGGAAGAGUACUCAACACUUCUCAGACUUCAUGUUUUUAUUCUGUUGUCAGCCUUCCUAUCCCCACCUGUGAAUCAGUUCAUUUUUGAUCUCAUGUCGCUCAGCUCAUGUCACUGGGACAAAGCCCAGUGUCAAAUUGUUUUCUAAAAUGGUGUUAUUUUUCAGCCGGUCUGGAAGCACAGCCCACCAUGGGUAGGGUUGGCCUCUUCUUCCAUAGUCAAGAUCAUUCUUUCUCUGGGUUUGUACACAUUAAAACUCACCUUUCCUUUGGCUCUAUUUUUGAUAAUGACUUUAUUCUGUUCUUGUGGCCUCUUUUUCUGCUUCACCCAGACAGUUUUGAAACGUGUUGCUUUACCAUGCUUUUUAUUUAUUUUAUUUUUUUGGCACACGGGCUUAGUUGCUCUGCGGCAUGUGGGAUCUUCCUGGAGCUGGGAUCGAACCCGUGACCUCUGCAUUGGCAGGUGGAUUCUUAACCACUGCGCCACCUAGGAAGCCCUACCAUGCUUUUUGAAGUUUGAUGGAAAGCCUUAGGUCAGGGGUGGAUUCACGUGUGUGUGAUUGGUUGAUGAAGGGCUCCCAGGAGGGGAAACUGAGGAAGUCAGGGAAACAGGGCAGAAAAUGGCAGGAAGCCACACGAGGACCUUCUGCUAAAGUCCCAGCCUCUGCCUCAUCCUGCAGGGGACCUUGGAGCAGAACUGCUAUCUCAGGGUUUGUCCAGGCGAGUUAACUGGGUUCUCACACCCCUGCACCGCAGGUCACUGCUAACGUCAGUCUAGAGGGAUGUGAACUUCUAAGCAUGUUCAACUCUGUGGGUGGUGCUGGAUAAGCCAGGCCAUCCUCCAAAGAGAUGCAGCUGGGCUGGUAGAAGAAGGCACAUGUGGUGUGUGUGCACACGUGUGUGUGUGUGUGUGUGUGUGUGUAGCGAUAGUGUCCAUUACAGGGGGUAAGGCCCAUUGUUACUUCCCGCCCAAUAUAUUCCUUGAGUUUUCUUCCUUUUUAUUUAUUAUUUUUUAAGCUCUUUAUUGGAAUAUAAUUGCUUUACACUGUUGUGCCAGUUUCUGCUGUACAACAAAGUGAAUCAGCUGUAUUUAUACAUAUACCCCCAUAUCCCCUCCCUCCUGUGACUCCCUCCCACCUUCCCUAUCCCAGCCCUCUAAGUCAUCACCCAUCAUCAAGUCGGUCUCCCUAUGUUAUGAAGCAACUUCCCACUAGCUAUUUUACAUUUUGUAUUGUAUCUUCCUUUUUAAAUAAAAAGUUUACUAUCAGUUUUCCAAGUUCUCUGAGUGAACCACGUGGAAUUUGAAUUGUUACGGUUCUGAGUCUACAAAUGGAUUCAGUAUGUUCCUUUCAUAGAUGACUCUCUUCUUUUACCUUUGCCGCAUCCCCCAGAGUACAAAUUUAGAACGUUUUAAUAGCGUGGUGGAAUUUAAAAGGCUGGGAAUGACUGAUUGAUCUCCACUGUUACUUAAAUGUUUAGAUAAUGAUAUCAAAAUUUUGAGACAAGAACUGCAGUUAAUCAAUUAAAA
This is an RNA transcript of Hippopotamus amphibius kiboko, 2487 nucleotides long. It is a transcript of the gene named microsomal glutathione S-transferase 2, with no coding region annotated. The transcript is spliced from 6 exons. The record is from RefSeq and is a predicted model, not a curated record. NCBI's taxonomy places the organism in Eukaryota, Metazoa, Chordata, Mammalia, Artiodactyla, Hippopotamidae.